RNAcentral lists this ribosomal RNA (534 nucleotides) under bacterium E-1-0-6B. RNAcentral's name for it is "bacterial SSU rRNA". It matches the Rfam family "Bacterial small subunit ribosomal RNA", at positions 371 to 896 of the family's 1533-position model. The record is from RNAcentral.
AUGGGGGGAACCCUGAUCCAGCCAUGCCGCGUGUGUGAAGAAGGCCUUUUGGUUGUAAAGCACUUUAAGCGAGGAGGAGGCUACUCUAGUUAAUACCUAGAGAUAGUGGACGUUACUCGCAGAAUAAGCACCGGCUAACUCUGUGCCAGCAGCCGCGGUAAUACAGAGGGUGCAAGCGUUAAUCGGAUUUACUGGGCGUAAAGCGCGCGUAGGUGGCCAAUUAAGUCAAAUGUGAAAUCCCCGAGCUUAACUUGGGAAUUGCAUUCGAUACUGGUUGGCUAGAGUAUGGGAGAGGAUGGUAGAAUUCCAGGUGUAGCGGUGAAAUGCGUAGAGAUCUGGAGGAAUACCGAUGGCGAAGGCAGCCAUCUGGCCUAAUACUGACACUGAGGUGCGAAAGCAUGGGGAGCAAACAGGAUUAGAUACCCUGGUAGUCCAUGCCGUAAACGAUGUCUACUAGCCGUUGGGGCCUUUGAGGCUUUAGUGGCGCAGCUAACGCGAUAAGUAGACCGCCUGGGGAGUACGGUCGCAAGACUA